AGUGAACGCUGGCGGUAGGCCUAACACAUGCAAGUCGAACGGCAGCACAGUAAGAGCUUGCUCUUACGGGUGGCGAGUGGCGGACGGGUGAGGAAUACAUCGGAAUCUACUUUUUCGUGGGGGAUAACGUAGGGAAACUUACGCUAAUACCGCAUACGACCUACGGGUGAAAGCAGGGGAUCUUCGGACCUUGCGCGAUUGAAUGAGCCGAUGUCGGAUUAGCUAGUUGGCGGGGUAAAGGCCCACCAAGGCGACGAUCCGUAGCUGGUCUGAGAGGAGGGUCAGCCACACUGGAACUGAGACACGGUCCAGACUCCUACGGGAGGCAGCAGUGGGGAAUAUUGGACAAUGGGCGCAAGCCUGAUCCAGCCAUACCGCGUGGGUGAAGAAGGCCUUCGGGUUGUAAAGCCCUUUUGUUGGGAAAGAAAAGCAGCAGGUUAAGACCCCGCUGUUCUGACGGUACCCAAAGAAUAAGCACCGGCUAACUUCGUG
RNAcentral lists this ribosomal RNA (492 nucleotides) under uncultured bacterium. RNAcentral describes it as "partial 16S ribosomal RNA". It matches the Rfam family "Bacterial small subunit ribosomal RNA", at positions 29 to 507 of the family's 1533-position model. The record is from RNAcentral.